RNAcentral lists this ribosomal RNA (755 nucleotides) under uncultured bacterium. RNAcentral's name for it is "bacterial SSU rRNA". It matches the Rfam family "Bacterial small subunit ribosomal RNA", at positions 8 to 796 of the family's 1533-position model. The record is from RNAcentral.
AGAGUUUGAUCCUGGCUCAGAAUCAACGCUGGCGGCGCGCUUAACACAUGCAAGUCGCACGAGAAAGGGAGCAAUCCUAAGUAAAGUGGCGCACGGGUGAGUAACACGUGGAUCAUCUACCUUUUAGUGGGGAAUACCUUUGGGAAACCGGAGACAAUACCGCAUAAGCCCGCAAGGGGAAAGCAGCAAUGCGCUGAAAGAGGAGUCCGCGGCCGAUUAGCUAGUUGGCGGGCGUAACGGCCCACCAAGGCGAAGAUCGGUAGCCGGCCUGAGAGGGCACACGGCCACACUGGCACUGAAACACGGGCCAGACUCCUACGGGAGGCAGCAGUGGGGAAUCUUGCACAAUGGGCGAAAGCCUGAUGCAGCGACGCCGCGUGAGCGAUGAAGCCCUUCGGGGUGUAAAGCUCUUUCGACGGGAACGAUAAUGACGGUACCCGGAGAAGAAGCUGCGGCUAACUACGUGCCAGCAGCCGCGGUAAUACGUAGGCAGCGAGCGUUGUUCGGAAUUACUGGGCGUAAAGAGUGUGUAGGCGGUGUUCCCAGUCUGUUGUGAAAUCUCCCGGCUUAACUGGGAGGGUGCAGCGGAAACUAGAAUGCUAGAGGGUGGGAGAGGUAAGCGGAAUUCCUGGUGUAGCGGUGAAAUGCGUAGAUAUCAGGAGGAACUCCUGUGGUGUAGACAGCUUACUGGACCACUUCUGACGCUGAGACACGAAAGCGUGGGUAGCAAACAGGAUUAGAUACCCCAGUAGUCC